AUUGAACGCUGGCGGCAUGCCUUACACAUGCAAGUCGAACGGUAACGCGGGGCAACCUGGCGACGAGUGGCGAACGGGUGAGUAAUAUAUCGGAACGUGCCCAGUAGUGGGGGAUAGCCCGGCGAAAGCCGGAUUAAUACCGCAUACGACCUGAGGGUGAAAGCGGGGGACCGCAAGGCCUCGCGCUAUUGGAGCGGCCGAUAUCAGAUUAGGUAGUUGGUGGGGUAAAGGCCCACCAAGCCGACGAUCUGUAGCUGGUCUGAGAGGACGACCAGCCACACUGGGACUGAGACACGGCCCAGACUCCUACGGGAGGCAGCAGUGGGGAAUUUUGGACAAUGGGCGCAAGCCUGAUCCAGCCAUGCCGCGUGCGGGAAGAAGGCCUUCGGGUUGUAAACCGCUUUUGUCAGGGAAGAAAUCUUCUGGGCUAAUACCCCGGGAGGAUGACGGUACCUGAAGAAUAAGCACCGGCUAACUACGUGCCAGCAGCCGCAGUAACAC
Molecule: ribosomal RNA, 501 nt
Filed under: uncultured bacterium
Lineage: Bacteria
Description: bacterial SSU rRNA
Rfam family: Bacterial small subunit ribosomal RNA
Source: RNAcentral